AUUCAUUUUCUGCCACCGAAUACAUUAGCAUGGGAUAAUGGAAUAGGACCCUGUCCUCCUAUUUUCAGUUGGUUUUGGCAGCGCGAGGACUAGGGUAAUGAUUAAUAGGGAUAGUUGGGGGCAUUAAUAUUUAAUUGUCAGAGGUGAAAUUCUUGGAUUUAUGAAAGAUUAACUUCUGCGAAAGCAUCUGCCAAGGAUGUUUUCAUUAAUCAAGAACGAAAGUUAGGGGAUCGAAGACGAUCAGAUACCGUCGUAGUCUUAACCAUAAACGAUGCCGACCAGCGAUUAGGAGACGUUGAAUACAAAACACCACCAUCGGCGCGGUCGCCCUUGGCGUUCGUGUUCACGCACGGGCGCGAGGGCGGCUUAGCCCGAUGGCACCGGUGAAUGACUCCCCAGCAGCUU
Molecule: ribosomal RNA, 405 nt
Filed under: Acanthamoeba sp.
Lineage: Eukaryota; Discosea; Longamoebia; Acanthamoebidae
Description: SSU rRNA
Rfam family: Eukaryotic small subunit ribosomal RNA (bases 1-345)
Source: RNAcentral